ACGCUGGCGGCAUGCCUAACACAUGCAAGUCGAACGAGACCUUCGGGUCUAGUGGCGCACGGGUGCGUAACGCGUGGGAACCUGCCUUUAGGUUCGGAAUAACUCAGAGAAAUUUGAGCUAAUACCGGAUAAUGUCUUCGGACCAAAGAUUUAUCGCCUUUAGAUGGGCCCGCGUUGGAUUAGCUAGUUGGUGGGGUAAAGGCCUACCAAGGCGACGAUCCAUAGCUGGACUGAGAGGAUGAUCAGCCACACUGGGACUGAGGCACGGCCCAGACUCCUACGGGAGGCGGCAGUGGGGAAUAUUGGACAAUGGGCGAAAGCCUGAUCCAGCAAUGCCGCGUGAGUGAUGAAGGCCUUAGGGUUGUAAAGCUCUUUUACCCGAGAUGAUAAUGACAGUAUCGGGAGAAUAAGCUCCGGCUAACUCCGUG
Molecule: ribosomal RNA, 428 nt
Filed under: uncultured bacterium
Lineage: Bacteria
Description: bacterial SSU rRNA
Rfam family: Bacterial small subunit ribosomal RNA
Source: RNAcentral